GGCUCAGGACGAACGCUGGCGGCGUGCCUAACACAUGCAAGUCGAGCGAGGAGAUCCUUCGGGAUGAUCCUAGCGGCGGACGGGUGAGUAACACGUGGGCAACCUGCCUCAUAGAGAGGAAUAGCCUUCCGAAAGGGAGAUUAAUACCUCAUAACAUUGCAGUUUCGCAUGGAACAGCAAUUUAAAGGAGUAAUCCGCUAUAGAGAUGGGCCCGCGGCGCAGUUAGCUAGUUGGUGAGGUAACGGCUCACCAAGGCGACGAUGCGUAGCCGACCUGAGAGGGUGAUCGGCCACACUUGGGACUGAGACACGGCCCAAACUCCUACGGGAGGCAGCAGUAGGGAAUCUUCCGCAAUGGACGAAAGUCUGACGGAGCAACGCCGCGUGAGUGAAGAAGGUUUUUCGGGAUCGUAAAACUCUGUUGUCAGAGAAGAACAAGUUGGAGAGUAACUGCUCCAGCCUUUGACGGUAUCUGACCAGAAAGCCACGGCUAACUACGUGCCAGCAGCAGC
RNAcentral lists this ribosomal RNA (511 nucleotides) under uncultured bacterium. RNAcentral describes it as "bacterial SSU rRNA". It matches the Rfam family "Bacterial small subunit ribosomal RNA", at positions 21 to 518 of the family's 1533-position model. The record is from RNAcentral.